GACGAACGCUGGCGGCGUGCUUAACACAUGCAAGUCGAACGGAAAGGCCCUGCUUGCAGGGUGCUCGAGUGGCGAACGGGUGAGUAACACGUGGGUGAUCUGCCCCUUACUUUGGGAUAAGCCUGGGAAACUGGGUCUAAUACUGGAUAGGACCAUGCUGUAGGUGGUGUGGUGGAAAGAUUAGUUUCGGUAAGGGAUGAGCUCGCGGCCUAUCAGCUUGUUGGUGGGGUAAUGGCCUACCAAGGCGUCGACGGGUAGCCGGCCUGAGAGGGUGGACGGCCACAUUGGGACUGAGAGACGGCCCAGACGCCUACGGGAGGCAGCAGUGGGGAAUAUUGCACAAUGGGCGCAAGCCUGAUGCAGCGACGCCGCGUGGGGGAUGACGGCCUUCGGGUUGUAAACUCCUUGCAGCCAUGACGAAGCCCUUGUGGUGACGGUAGUGGUAGAAGAAGCACCGGCUAACUACGUG
RNAcentral lists this ribosomal RNA (469 nucleotides) under uncultured bacterium. Its description in RNAcentral is "partial 16S ribosomal RNA". It matches the Rfam family "Bacterial small subunit ribosomal RNA", at positions 28 to 507 of the family's 1533-position model. The record is from RNAcentral.